CGAGGAGCUGGAAUUCCGCUAACCUGCGGGUGUAUUACCAGUAGAACGACAAAGCCAGGAAGACAGUUCGAAAAAUGUACAAUUCUUUUCAUUUCAAUAAUUCCUGGUUACAACGGUGUGUUCGUGUGAUUACAAAGAAUUCCCAGAGGGGAAUUGGGGAGUAAAGAAAACAAGGAAGAGGUGGAGACUCCGUGGAGCUGAAGAUCUGGGAUCCCGAACCCUCCAUCCGAAGCAGCUGCAAUCCCACCGGGCGUGGGUGCUUCUCCCUGGAGGCGCCAUCGACGCCUCACGCAAAAGACGAAGAGCCGGCGCGGACGAAGAAGAAGUGGACGAAGGAGGAGUUCCCGCUGCCUCCAGAGGAACGCCACCUCCAAGGGAUAUUCUGGUCCUCCCCAGGAGAAGGGGAGGGAAGGAACACAAGGGAGAAGAGCGCGAGGAGGCGCGAACCCGGAUGAAGCGUCUGGCGCAGAGCUCAAUCGGGAGGCGGGGCUGAAAGGAGGGGGGAUGUGAUCCCGGAUGAAACGCCUAGAGCGGAGUUCCGCCGGGGAGAACCUCCUUGUUGAUCCCAGAUGAAACGGC
Molecule: long non-coding RNA, 579 nt
Filed under: Phoenix dactylifera (date palm)
Lineage: Eukaryota; Viridiplantae; Streptophyta; Magnoliopsida; Arecales; Arecaceae
Description: long non-coding RNA (PDAC_LNC013463)
Source: RNAcentral